UCAUUUCAACUAAAUAAAAUAAUCUCAUUUCACUCAAAUAAUCAACAUGGCUUAUGAAUUUAUUAAAAACUUGGCUCGUGCCAAAACUCAUUCUCGGGGAUACCUUGAUCAGAGGCAUCCAACCGAGUCCGCCAAGGCUGUUAAAGAAAAGACAUACAUCCAUAAAUCAUAUUUGUACAUUUUAAAACAUAGCCGUUCCUUGGCGUUGGCUGAGUUCACCCUCACGUGGUGGUUUAGCAUGUAGUGAACUCUAAAGCUUUACCUCAGG
RNAcentral lists this long non-coding RNA (268 nucleotides) under Theobroma cacao (cacao). Its description in RNAcentral is "long non-coding RNA (TCAC_LNC004560)". Lineage: Eukaryota; Viridiplantae; Streptophyta; Magnoliopsida; Malvales; Malvaceae. The record is from RNAcentral.